This 531-nucleotide ribosomal RNA is filed under the name Umbaspis regularis. RNAcentral's name for it is "partial 28S ribosomal RNA". The record is from RNAcentral. Lineage: Eukaryota; Metazoa; Arthropoda; Insecta; Hemiptera; Diaspididae.
AUCUGGGCGGCGGAAUUCAGGGCGACUGGGCGGCUUCGCGCUCGUCCGGUUGUCUGAUAUUUCCGUCGCCGUUGCGGACGUCGCGACCUGUUCGCCGUCGGUCCUUGCUCGGAGGAAUCGCGAUCGAGUUCGUUGCGGGGCGCGUUUCGGCGCGUCUCGCGGCGAAGGCGCGGCUCUCUGGCUGACGGCGGACAGUAAGCAACGGUGGCCGGCGCGGUGUCUCGCACUUCGCGUCGGUGCCGGUCAGCGACGAUUUCUUCGGGCCUCUUUCCGACCCGUCUUGAAACACGGACCAAGGAGUCUAACAUGCGCGCGAGUCGCGGGGUUUCGGGUGUGCCACGGUACACCCGUUACUUCCGAAACCCGUACGUUGAAGGCGUAAUGAAAGUGAACAGGGAAGAUGGCGUUCCGAGUCCACGAACCGUGAUCGAGUAUCGCGGCCGGACGCCCGCACUCCCGGGGCGUCUCAAUGGCUCGUCGCGGGCGCGGACGGUCGUUCUUCGGGGCGGCCGUCGGUCUGCGACGGACCGA